Molecule: long non-coding RNA, 2007 nt
Organism: Bacillus rossius redtenbacheri
Lineage: Eukaryota; Metazoa; Arthropoda; Insecta; Phasmatodea; Bacillidae
Exons: 3
Source: RefSeq, a predicted model, not a curated record
GUCCCGUAAAAAUGGUUUUAUUUUUCCUUAAAUUUCGUUUUGAAAAAAUCAAAUUUCGGUUUUAUUUCGCUGUUUUGGUUUUUCAUGUUUACUUUAACUUUUGAGAAUGGUUUUAUGACCUACAAGUUUUGCUUGGCUAAAUAAUAGUGGCACGGCGUAUACUCGUAUACUGCACUCUAAAGUCAACACUAUUGGCAAAUAAAAAUUGUAGGCUUGAAACAGCUCGGCACGGCCCGGUGCCGCCUAGCGCGCUGCCUCGGCACGGCCCAGUGUCGCCUAGCGCGCUGCCUCGGCACGGCCCGGUGUCGCCUAGCGCGCUGCCUCGGCACGGCAUGUCUCAACUUAGUAUUCUUUUAAUAUUUCUUGCUGCUGUUCUUUGUCCCGUUGACGCCGUAUUCACUUGCUCUGCGGUCGUAUUGCAUUUGCUGAGAAGUGUAGUUACGGCAGUUAAAGGUCACUGAUUUUGCUUAUCAAUCGGCGUAGUGCCAUGUGUUCAUGUUUACGAGUAGUAGAGGUGUAAAAGUAACGAAAAAAAGUGUACCCGUAUGUAUUCGUUACUAUAACAAUUAGUACUCGUUACUAUCGUGUCGCUACGUUACUCGUUACUUCUGAUACCGCAUAACAUGCAAUGUUAUGUUGCAGCAACGAAUCGAGUCGUAUUGCGUACGCGUACAGUAUGACGUCACGUAAAUAAUAAUAAAUAGAAUAUAAACAAUUAACAAUAUUUGAUAAUUAACAGUUUUUGUUAACCAAGAAACAAUUAAAUCUCAUUAGAGCGGUUUUAUUAUAUUAUCUCUUUUAAGAUAAAAACAACAAAAAACGUGAAAAUACGCGAUAAUAAAUAACAAAAACAUACAUAUUUCUAAUUUGUAAAAAAUACUUUCUUAUAAACAGUAAAAAACUUGGACGACAAAUUUCCAUAUUAUACUUAAUAAACAAACAUCGUUCUUUGUAACGUAAAUUCAUCGAAUAUGCGCGCGCAUGCGUAAAACAUACGAAAAAUGUGAGUAACGAAAUCCAGCCGUGUGUAACGUUUCGUUACUCGAUACUAGAUGGCGCACCCGUUACUCAGUCAGUACCGAAUACAUACGGUUUGCUACACCUACAGCUCUAACGAGUAGGUUGCCAAGCCAGUCAAACGUAGUUGAAAGCAUGAGGUUGUUAACUGUUCAACAUGAAAAGAAGAAUUACAAUUUUAUAUUUCUCUACAAGAUUAAUGUGUAAAUACAGCGGGUUGAAAAUCAUGGCAGCUAUAUUGUGUUGAAAACAUCGCCGGUAUUUUUUAUUAACUUUGUGUUGAUGCUCAGCAAUUUUCACACAUUCGAUGGAUGAACAAAACUCAUCAUGCCUAUGCAAGGUGAAUGACGGCACGUGUGCAAACCGUACAGAGCAGGAAGAAAAGGAACACUUAUGAAAGGCAUGUAGAGCAGAAACAGUUCCAUCCAAUCCUAAGUGGCAGUUCUACUUUGAGAUUCAGACCAAUGUUGGUGGGCACAAGUCUACGACGUCAGCAGCUGAUGAAAUGAACGUCCAUCUUCAGGGCAAUCUGUUGCCAUUGGCAUCAAACGUGCCUCAGUUUUGGAAGGGAAAAGUAGAGUUUCCAGCGCUGCAGAAAUCAACUAAGAAAUAUCCAGCUAUUCCUCGGUUACUGUGUUCUCCCAGCAUCUUCCUGUAUAAAAGGACUCAUUGCAGGAAAAAAAAAAAUUGUUUGGACCUUGAUAGUGUCAAAAUGCUAAUCUUCUUAAAAAAAAAAGUGAAUAUUUAUACUUUUUUUUUUAAAUUUAGUUUAUACUUUGGAAAAUAUAAAAUUUUGACAUAGCCAUAGUGCUGAAAUGAACAAUUUGUACCCAAAUCAUAUGUGCUAGUUUUUGUUUUUGGCUCUGUAAGACAAUAACUUAACUUACACAGCUGUCACACAACACAUGAAUUGGAAUUGAGCUCGAAAUCGAGGUGAGAAUUGAUGUAAGCAUCUAAAUCAAUAAAAUUUCUGUAUUUUGAAAUCCAUAA